This 7888-nucleotide long non-coding RNA is filed under the name Homo sapiens (human). Its description in RNAcentral is "non-protein coding lnc-PRKN-21:8". The record is from RNAcentral. Lineage: Eukaryota; Metazoa; Chordata; Mammalia; Primates; Hominidae.
GAGAACAGUCUGGAAGACAAUGACAGAGUGCUUGCCUGGGGAGUCGGAGGAGCUCCGGUUAUGUCCAAGCCGAACCCCUGGAGCCUCUGGACUGCCUGGCACUGAGGGAGCGGGAACUGGACGGUGGGCAUGUGGCCGGGAGGAGCCUUCCAACCAGAAGAAACUAAGUUUUCAAGUUUCCUGCUGUGUCAUCUCAACUGGAAAGUGUCGUCCCCCAGGAAGUCUCCUGCCCUCCCUCUCUGCACAGGGAGCCGCUUCCCACUCUGUCCUUCGAUGGACACGCUGAUGCAGCUGGGAAUGAGCUUGGAAACGCUAACUGACCAGAGUGAUUUCUGGGCCCUGAGUGCAUUACAGAUGGAGAAAGCUUCUGAAUUCUCUAUGGAACUCCAGGCCUGACCUUGGGAUGGGAGACGGGCGGCUGGGCGCACAAGGAAAGAGGCCUCGCCUUGCGCCACGGAGGAGGUGGGGAGCAAUCAGCCGGCCCCAGGCUGGAACCUGAGGAACCCAAAACACCAAACGCUGGGGAAACUUUCCCUUCCUUUUUUCCAAACAUAUGUUCAAGCUGGGGGUCUGAAUAUGCAGUGGGCUGCCCUAUUUCCCAACCUGGCUUUGGGGAAGUAAGUCAACACAGGCAGUUGCUGAGUUUGCUUACUCUGUGCAACUUGUGUGGUAACCAGCAGCUAUCAAUACACUUUACAGGUGUGCUGGAAGAUAGUUAUUUCAAGGAAAACAAUGAUUCUUUUUAGAAAGUAAACUUCUGAAGGAGGCAUCAAAACUUUGAAUUUUGAUGCAGCAUUUUUUUUUUUUUUUUGAGAUGGAGUCUUGCUCUGUUGCCUAGCCUGGAGUGCAGUGGCACAACCUCGGUCACUGCAACUUCUACCUCCUGGGUUCAAGCAAUUCUCCUGCCUCAGCCUCCUGAGUAGCUGGGAUUACAGGCACCCACCAUCAUGCCCGGCUAAUCUUUGUAUUUUUGUAGAGACAGGGUUUCACUAUGUUGGCCAGGCUGGUCUUGAACUCCUGACCUUAGGUGAUCCACCCACCUUGGCCUCCCAAAGUGCUGGGAUUACAGGCGUGAGCCAUUGUGCCUGGCCUGACGCAGCAUAUUUUUAAAGACAGGAUGCACAUGUAAUUUGGAGAGAGAUGGCCGAUUCCAAAAUAUUGCAGGUACGAUGGCAUCCUUCAAUGAUAAAUACUUCCCAAAUGGUCCUGUGAGCACUCCCAACUUCCUCCUCUGGCCAGUAGCCUUUCAAGCCAAGACCUCAAACCAGCAGGAUUUUAUUUUAACUGUAAGGAGAGGACAAAGGCCAUGGAACGAUGCCAUCCAGGCUGCCCUUGGCCGGCCUCACUGCCCCUAUCUGCAGGAGGCUCAGGAAGGUUUCCAAAUGCCCAGAGUAGUGUGGCUCGAGUGCUUCUCGGAGUCAUUCUCACCCUACUCACCGGAAGUGGGAAGGACAGGAGAACUGUCAGUCAGGUCGGCCAUGGAGGUCAAAGGCAGCCCUGUUGAGAAUGUGCGGAUGUUUGUCCUUCCAGAUGGUCCAGACAAGGGAUGGCACAGAUUUCAUUCCCGCAUUGUCUUUUGACCGCAGGUGCUACCCCGAGCACUGUCUGGGGAGGAUUUCAAGGCUGUGCCCAGGCCACCCCUGAUGGAUGCAUCAGUCACUUCAGCCAUGGUGCCGGCAGGGAGCCCAAGCGCGGGAGCAUCCUCUGUCGUCCUCGCAGCCGGGACCCUCUCAUUUCCUGUCUGCACAGCAGCCCCGGCGUGUUCCUCUGUGAAAGCCAGGAGCACGGGGGUGACGCCUUCUGGGCCUGCCACUGUUCCUUCAGAAGCGACCUUUGACCUCCCCAUCAGCCUGUGCUGCUAGGUCUGGGGUCAUUUUCUGCUCAGAUAUCUCCUCUCCCUGACGAUCGAUUCCCCCUGGAGGGGUGAGCCACUGUCGGGAGGGGAGACGGAGCUGAGCAUGCAAGGAAGGGCAACCCCAGCCCAGAUCCUGGAGGGCUUUGGGCUUCCAGGUAGAAGCCGGUCUUCGCGUCAGCAAACCAAGAAAAUGCCUCCCUGAAAUGGUCUCCAGGUCCCCCCAAACACCUGCCUCCCCCUCCAGCCUUCUCCACUGAUGCCUGCAGCUGCAUAAGUAGUGUUUCAUUGCACCCCAGCAGGAGCUGGUACCGGUUCUUCCCUUGCCUCAUGCUGGGGUAGAUUUUAUUUAGGAUUGGGAGCAGGGAAAGGAGCUAGAGAAAGGAAGGGUUCCAGGAAGCUGGGAAGGGAGAUGUCAGGUGGGGUGAUGGGAAAGGAGGCCAAGGACCACCUUUGCCUGUAUGGUGGGCUGAACUGUGUCCCCACAAAAGAUAGGGCGUCCUAACCCCAGAUACCUGUGAAUGUGACCUUAUUUGGGAAUAGAGUUUUUGCAAAUGGAAUCAAGUCAUGAUGACGUCAUUAGCAUGAGCCUUAAUUUAAUAGGAUUGAUGUCCUUCUAAGAAGAGAAGACAGGGACACACAGGAGAAAGCCAUGUGAUGAAGCAGGCAGGAGCUGGAGCGACACUACCACAGGCCAAGGAACAUUGGGACCAGAAGAGGCGAGGAGGGGCCGUUCCCUAGAGGCUUUGGAGAGAGCAUGGCUCAUCAACACCUUGACUUCAGACUGGUAGCCCCCAAACGGUGACAGAAUAAUUGUCUAUUGUUUUAAGCCCCCUGGCUUAUAGUACGUUGUAAAGGCAGCCCUAGGAAGCCCUAAGCCAGUUUCACUCAUUAUGAUAAAUAUCAUAGAUGAUGACUGUCAUAUAUUGGAUGUGCUGGAGAUCUUCACAGCCACAGAAUAAACUGCAGGCCAAAAAAAGAACAUUCAUAUGAGGUCCCCAGCAGGGGCUGGCUGUGCAAGUCAGAGACUGCAGAACCAGGUAGGCAGACAAAGCGAAAUUGCCUGGAGCUGGACACAUAUGUGCACCACUGGGAAAUAAAUAGACUUGCGGUGGAAAUGACCAACGUGGAUGGCCAGGGAAAUGCCAGCAGCAAUAAAAGAAAAGAGUGCACAAGGCCUGUAAAUCAGCAGAUGCGAGAGCUCCCGAAAAGUAGCGAAGUCUGAAAUAAAAGGCAGGCUCAGGCUGGUGGUCCAAGAAGUUAAAGCAGGAAAUGAGAGCGUGGGCACUGUGUGUGCUGGGCUCCCAAAGACUGCAGGGAGUGGCCAGAUGUCUCCAGAGGCAGCGUCAUGUGGAGCAAAGGGGACCUGAGGAGUGUCAGCAUCCUCAGUCACCUCCUCCUUUGAACCAGCUGUUCGGAAUCUGGUCUCUUACUUAGGAUAAUUGUAGGAACUGACUUUUUUUUUUUUUCUUUUCUCACCUAUUGGCUGACUGAAAGAACCGACUUUUAAAUGAGCACCUCCCUCAUUAGAAUUGCUCAAAUGACAACAGCUGCAGCGGUGGGAGCAGCAGCAAGUUUGAAAAUCCAACAGUCUGCAUUCCACAGUGACAGUAUUCUUGGUCACCUCGGAGACAUGGCAGCCGGGAGCCACGGCUCUCAUUGCUCGGGGUUGGUUGGGUUACCAGCCCUAGGGCUACAGAAUGUAUCUAAAAGAGAGGCUUGGCUGGCAGUUUAAGAGGGGUGCAGGACAGCAGGAUGGGGUUCAUGAGGCAAGAGUGGAUGGAGCCUGUGGCCCAGUUGGGAUGAGAUGGGACAGUUCCAAUGGGCAGGACAAACCCCAGCCACCGUCUCAGGGUAUUUGACAGGAGGUAAACAGCAGACAAAAUCCUGGAGCACAGGGGGGCAGGGCUGUCUCGUUCCCAUGAAUGGCAACAUUGGAGGACUGACCCCCAAGAGCGUGGUUUUGUCGUCAGCCUCAAAGGCAUGGCUUUCUCUCUGGCGUUGGCAGCAGCCGCUCAGCACCAUAGCUAGGGAGCAGCGGCCUAGAUCCCUCACAUUUAUUUCACUUUGACUCUUUUGACCAAAGCACCACUGUUUAAGGCCUCAUUUUUCUUCUCCCAUGUGGAAAAUCAUAUUGCUUAAAUUUAAAAAUGAAGAUAGAUAGAUGGAUGAAAAAAUCCCCAUAGAGCAAAAUUCUGCCUGUGACAAAAAGGUCUCCACGUCUGAGGUGACAGUCAACUUCAAGUGACGCCAAGAACAUCAAAAUCUCUCUAUAAAAAAAGAAUAGGAAGCAAUGGGGCUCGUGAAAAUGCCACAUCAAGAAAAGUCAACAAAUACAUACUUAGUGGUAACUAUGGUUGCAGAGAAAGAGAAAACUUAAAACAAUAUGAACAUAUGUGGUCAUAUAGACUGAAAACCCACCGUGUCAUAAAACCCCAGGACACAGAACGCAUCAGCGUAGACAGCAGCUGUACAGACAAUGCUGGGGCGGUUGUGGAGUGGGAUUAGAAGACAGGAGGCGCCAUCGAGUCAGCUCCAAGGCCAUUAGCCUUGUGACGCCAGCAAAAUGUCUUCAAAAGUCACUGGAUUUUUCAAUGAGAAGGAGAAGUUAGGCAGCUACCAAAUAGCUGAAAGAAUAUUAAAUCUGAUGGAUCCAGCCAAAUAAAAAUGUUCAUUCAUAGGAUCUGUGGUUGUUGAGGAAUCUUCUAAGUUUCAUAAAUGGCAAAAACUCUUUCUCAGACUUACAGAUCAGACCUCACAUAUGCAUGAGAAGAGAAGCUAUUUUUGUCUCUGGGUUCCAGUUACACAGCCACAGCCUGGAAGCUUUGUUCUCAGAAUUCAUGCUGUCAUCAAAAGGACUCAAUACAAACACUGCAGCCAGCCUGCCAUGGCUUAGCUGUGACCGCAGCUGCAAACUCUUCUGUCAUGUGAAAACUUUUGGCUUUUUCCGGGUGUGGAAUGCCUGUUGGUCCCAGCUCCGCCUGCCUUUCCUCCUUCUGGAAUCGUGUCCAUCCUUUCAGUCAACUCAGUUUGUCCGCAUCUUCCAGGCCUCAUACCUCCGCCUGAUCUGCAUGGCAGUGGUGGGCUUGCUCUUUGUGCUAUUACACUGACUGUGAUCGUGUUUAGUGAGUCAGCUUCUACAAAGUUGACCUGCACCUGUGUGAUGUCUCUCCCUAGCUGGAUGCAGCUUCUCCAUGGGCUAAGUUCAUCAUGUUAACAGUGCCUGCCCCACAGGCCCUCAGGGGAUCUUAGUGGGUGGUCUAUGGAGAGACUUUAGUGGGUAUAUGAAUCCCCAAAAUUGUAGGCAAAGUUUGUGUAUGCUGUGGCCUAUCGACAGCGGGGACUCUGCCGCUGAUUUCUCCUAAGAAGCCUCCUGGGGGUUUGAGCGAAUCGUGGUGGUCUCCUUCCCUCUGGAGUGAUUAGUUUUGGCUUUGGCUCAACAUGGUGCAGACCCAUGGGAUCCAAAGGGAAGUUGGCCGGGCAUUUCUGGGAAGGAUGUCUCUUCUUCUGAUUUCUGAGUGAGGGUAGGAAGCCCUCUUCUUCAUCAGACGCCAUGGCUCUUACACGAAUGAUGCCUAGAGCAGACACAGCCCUUCCAGGACCAGAGGCCAAGGCUGACAAUGGGACAAGAGGGCGGAGGAAGAAGUGGGGAGCACCUAAGCCUUCCUCUGACCAAGCACUGUCCUAACCAAUUCUGAUUGGUUCACUUCUAGUUACAUGAUAUAAUAAACGUCCUAUUUCUUAAGGCACUUUUAACAUGAGUGCAGCAUUUUAGAGUUUCAUCAGGUGAUCCACUGGAUCUGAGUCUCUGCUCAGGCUUAAGGAUGCCCAUAAAAGGUGCCCAAUUAAAUGUUGAUUGGUUGAUUGGCACACAGAGAAUCGCUGGAAGUGCCGCUGAGUCAUCCAGGUGCUAAGAGAGCUUGCCAGGCCUGUCUAGAGGAGGUUGGCCAACUGGAGUGUGUUGUUCUCCCACUCAAGUCCACUGCCCAGUGCUGCCAGGUGUGGGAGAGCAACUCAGAGAGGGCUGGAUGUUAGACCAAGCAAGGUCUUGAGAGUGUCACGCUCAGGGAGAUGCCCAAGAGGGGACCAGCUGGCUGUUUGUGUGGGUGUUUCCUCACUGGGUAAACAGGAGAGAAUCCUCCUUAUCAAGGGCCUGUAGAGUAGAUGGACUUAAGCUUUUGCACCCACUCUGGCUGAGCUGUAGUGUUAAGAAGGAUUCUGAAGCUGUGUCCAUAUUUAACUGGAAACUGUGCCGUGAUUAUUAGUUAAGUGUCCCAUGGAUACAAAUGGAAAGAAUCGAGGCAUUCACGCCAGUGAUUCAUCCCCCCUGUCUAGGGUCUGGUUCUCGGCUUUUUAGAUCAGGAGACUCAGGGAGCCCCUUCAAAGUAGAUACCCACUUCAAAAGUGGGUUCAUCUAUCUCCUGGAAAAUGCCCCACUCCCUUUGAUAGACUGUUCUGCUCAAAAACAUCUUCUGACUGAGCACAGUGGCUCACGCCUUUAAUUCCAGCACUUUGGGAGGUUGAGAUGGGCAGAUCCCUUGAGCCCAGAAGUUUGAGACCAGCCUGGGCAAUAUGGUGAGACCCUGUCACUACAAAAAAAUAAAAACAAUUAGCCAGGUAUGGUGAUACAAGCCUGUAGUCCCAGCUACUUGGGAGGCUGAGGUGGGAGGAUCAGCUGGCCCCAGAGGUCAAGGCUGCAGUGAGCUGAGAUCAUGCCACUUGCACUCCAGCCUGGGUGACAGAGUGAGGUUUUGUCUAAAAAAUUAAAUGAAUAAGUACAUAAAUAGGUCUCUGAGGCUGAGGACAGGCAUCCUCCGGGGAUGGGUGGCGCUGUCUGAAGCUGUCUUCCUCUGUCAACUAACAAGCUGGCACCAGAAAUUCCAGGUGGUCUCCUGGGCACUCGGUGGACCCUCAGCUCUUCCUCGGACGGUGGUGGGCAGUCUUGGACACAUCUCCUUUUUUGGAUCCCGUGAGGAAGAGUGUGACCUUUCUGCUUGGCACUUGGCUCAUCAGCCUGAUGCGCGCAUAGCGUGGUAGAGGGCCAGGUGCACAGACGUGGUGCUGUGACCCUGGGGAAAGCUGUCUCGGGGCCCACGUCUCCCAUGCAGAAUGAAGGGCCCCCUGCAGAUCUGCUCCAUGUGCCGUGGAGUUGCUGGUUCUGAUUAGGGAAUGGUUUCCUUUAGUCCCUCCGGGUCUAGGAAUGCUCUCUGCCCACCUGGACACUGUUGGGUGAGCACAGGAUAAACAUCACGAAAUGAAGAGUGCCAUCUGCAGAGCCAAGAAGCAGAGGCUCGCUUGGAGAAGGACAGGACUGGGCCUAGAAGGGUUUGGCGGGUGGCUCUGCCUGGCCAUUUGGGGACAGGAAAGGAGAGGGAACCCCAAGUAAUGGGAGCGGCCUGAACAAAGGCCAGGACAGGAUGUAGGGCUUGCUUGGGGCCUGGUGACUGAGGCCCCAUUUGCCUGGCCGAGGGUCUGUGUUCUACUCAGGGUUGAGAAGUAGGGAAGGAUUGGAGGAGGUUAAGGACUUGAGGAAAAUGAGACUUUAGGAAGACUCCUGUGGCUGCUGGGGGUGGGAGGGAGAGGAGGGACUCCAGAGAGGCAGAGAACUGUCCAGGAGGGGGUGAGUCUUGGGCUGAGGGUGCUGGCUCCAUGCUGGGGGUUCAUACCAGAGGCCGCCAGGAGCUCAGGUGAGGGCUGCUGCGGAACUCCCCUUCCUUGGCCAGGCCUCCCUCCCCUCCUUUCCCUUCCCAGGUGUGCUGACGACUCGGUGGACUCAGGUGGUGCUGGCCUCCCGUGCUCAGGGACUGAGAGCUGGUUGCUCCUUCCUACACAGCCCCUCUUUGAGAGACUGCAAACCUACCCCCAGGCAGGCAGAGCUGGGGGACGGGGAGUCAGCCACCGAUGUGCUUGAAGCAAAGCAGAUGGUGCUCUUGGCUCAAUGGAGGUGGCCGAAGGACAUGACCUUCCCCUCCGGCCUUUCUUUUGGGAAAGGAAGUCUUUGGUAGUUUGUAGCAACUGAAUAAAUCUUGUCAUUUU